This 73-nucleotide transfer RNA is filed under the name Ixodes scapularis (black-legged tick). RNAcentral describes it as "tRNA-Val for anticodon CAC". The record is from RNAcentral. Lineage: Eukaryota; Metazoa; Arthropoda; Arachnida; Ixodida; Ixodidae.
GUUUCCGUGGUGUCGUGGUGACCAUGUGCGCCUCACACGCGCAAGGUCCACGGUUCGAUCCCAAUCGAAAACA